UACGGGGGGAGCAAGCGUUGUUCGGAUUUACUGGGCGUAAAGGGCGCGUAGGCGGCCUGUGCAAGUCAGUUGUGAAAUCUCCGAGCUUAACUCGGAACGGUCAACUGAUACUGCUCGACUAGAGUGCGGAAGGGGCAACUGGAAUUCUUGGUGUAGCGGUGAAAUGCGUAGAUAUCAAGAGGAACACCUGCGGCGAAGGCGGGUUGCUGGGCCGACACUGACGCUGAUGCGCGAAAGCUAGGGGAGCGAACGGG
Molecule: ribosomal RNA, 254 nt
Filed under: uncultured bacterium
Lineage: Bacteria
Description: partial 16S ribosomal RNA
Rfam family: Bacterial small subunit ribosomal RNA
Source: RNAcentral